UGACCUCGGAUCAGGUAGGACUACCCGCUGAACUUAAGCAUAUCAAUAAGCGGAGGAAAAGAAACCAACAGGGAUUGCCUCAGUAACGGCGAGUGAAGCGGCAACAGCUCAAAUUUGAAAUCUGGCUCCCCUUGGGGGUCCGAGUUGUAAUUUGGAGAGGAUGUUUCUGGCGCGGCGCCUACCGGAGUUCCUUGGAACAGGACGCCACAGAGGGUGAGAGCCCCGUACGGUUGGCCGCCUAGCCUGCACGAAACUCCUUCGACGAGUCGAGUAGUUUGGGAAUGCUGCUCAAAAUGGGAGGUAAAUUUCUUCUAAAGCUAAAUACCGGCCAGAGACCGAUAGCGCACAAGUAGAGUGAUCGAAAGAUGAAAAGCACCUUGAAAAGAGGGUUAAACAGUACGUGAAAUUGUUGAAAGGGAAGCGCCUGCGACCAGACUCGCGCCCCGCGGACCAGCCGGCGUUCUCGCCGGUGCACUCCGCGGGGUGCGGGCCAGCAUCGGUUCUCCCUGGGGGAGAAAGGCUGCGGGAAUGUAGCUCCUUCGGGAGUGU
This 549-nucleotide ribosomal RNA is filed under the name Ceratocystiopsis manitobensis. RNAcentral's name for it is "eukaryotic LSU rRNA". It matches the Rfam family "Eukaryotic large subunit ribosomal RNA", at positions 1 to 554 of the family's 3401-position model. Lineage: Eukaryota; Fungi; Ascomycota; Sordariomycetes; Ophiostomatales; Ophiostomataceae. The record is from RNAcentral.